CUGUGUACAUAUAUUUCCCCAUUAUUCUGCCAGUCUGAUUUGGGUAUGUCAAAGGCCCUCCAUGAUGCCCAGGAUCUGCCAGGGUGCUCGAGUAUUUAUGCCGUGAUUCAGAGUAGGCCUGAAGGUCAGGAGAGGCCACAUGAGGAUGCAGCUCACGUGACAACCAGUUCACUGUGAUUGAUAGUUGUGCUGUAAAAUAUUAUGAAACCUCACCAUUAACUCUAUAUCUCUGCACCAUGUCUGCAAGCAGUGGAACGGUAGGUAGCAGGCAGCACUUUUCCCUCUCAGUCUCUCCAAAUGGUUUUCUGAGUAAUGUCACAACAGUGCUGGAAGGUUGAGAAGGGUCACUGAGGCUGACAAAUAAUGAUUUUCAAAAGCAAACAGAGCCCAUGAGUUGAAGAAACAUAUUUGUUCUUAAGAAGUCCACAUGCACCUCCAUGACCACACCAUAAAAGAGAUCAUUGAACUGCGCUUCACUAGAUAUGGUAGACUGGACAUGUGGUUCAUGGACAAAGGUGAUCCACAACUACCUGUAGCAGACGUGCAGCCAGAAAAUAAUGAGCACAGCUCAGUAGACAUCAGAGAGAAGAAUUUGCUCCCAUGUCCCAUCAUAGGGGACAUGACGACGUGGUGAACCCAGCCAUAAGACCACACACAUGUGACGUGUUGCACAUACAUAUUCUCACCAUAUGACAAGUGCACUGUAAUAUGAACAAGGGCGUCUGGUUUUGGUAACACAAUAAAUACAGCUGUUUGCAUGACUAUGAAGAGGAGCAAGAAGGAAAUAACACUCUGGCAUAACUCUCCAGUAAUUCCAAAAUAGAUAGCCUGUCCUGGCUGUUUCUCUCUCAAAACUGCCCCAUAACAGAGAAAUAGGCAACUCCACAGUACUAACUAACCCAGCUAUACGAAAAAUUGUUAAUAAAGGCAGCAGAAUCUAAUCCUUAACCGAGAUCCCUCAGGUGGCAUUUGCUUUAUCUCAUGAACUCAGCUUUUCAGAUGGUAUGAAACGGUGUCUUUUUGCUCCCGCAUUUGUUUGCCCAGUGAUGUCAUCCACAUUAUCGCAAAGACCAGGCUGGAAGUCUUCAAAGAAAAAGGCUUGUUUAAACAAAAAGAGAUCUCUCCUUGCCCGAUUCUUUCAGAUAAUGACUGAUGCUUUUGCUUUGUGCUUAAAGUGGAACUUCUAAUCGGGGAAAAAAAAAUACAUAGAAAACAAACUCCAAACGGUCUGAUUCCAAGAAGUCUUCUUUUCAUUUAUUAACAAAAGAAACUUUUCACUUUCACCCAAACCUAGCAUAGAGCCAUUUAUUUUCUGUGUACCAGUAAAACCAAUCAGAUGAAAAAAUAUUUUCUGCCAGAGCUUGAAAGUAAAUUCAGUUCUCCAAGAAAAGCUUGUUUCCACAGGCUUUGAGGCUUUUAUAAGUUGCAUUCAGCCUUCCUUCUCCAAUUACUAUAGACAUAAAUUACAAGGUGAGCUAAAAUAUUUAGUCCUUUUUUUAGAGCAAAAUGCCGGUCUCAGUUCUGCUGCAGAAGAAUAAAUUGUAUCAUUAUAGCCUUCUUCUGGGUCUUGUUAUUCUGACUUUUUGACUCUCGCUAGCUGCAGUCUAUACAAUGCACAACUGUAUUUGUUCACAAGGAAUGCUUUGGUUCCUUUUGACUUUUUCCUUUCCACUUCCUAAUGGUUUACAUGUAGAAAUAGAGCUUUUGAAAAAUUACCUAACACAUACUAUGUUUAAUGAGUACAUUUAAACAUACUUUAGCUACAAAUCUUAUCAGCUGAUUACUUAACCUUUGUGGAUAGGCUAAAUAUUUUCUUCGACGCUUAAAUAAAUAUGAUACAUGGUUCCCGUGGAAAGCCUAAUGAGAAGGAAGUUGUUUUUAAACUUAAGUCAAGAGUUUUCAUUUAUUUUAUCAGUAUUUUUUUUCCAAGUGAUCAAAGAAAGCAGCUUGCAUGGCCAAAUUGCUAAAAGAUAAAUUAAGUACUAAAGUAUUAACUCUGGUGUACUUUAUUUGGGGUGUCCCUAAAAUGACAUCUGGAAGGGCAAUCAGGAAUCUGCCAUAUACUACGAAGAACAUGGUAUGAGGUGUUAAGUCAAAAUCCUGACUUCUCUCAAGGUGGACUUAAAGAAUGAAAAUCAAGAUGUGUGUAUUUCUUUCAGAUUUCAGUAACAAUGAGACGUGUAUGUAAAAUCCCUAGCAGUUGUCCUGGUUCCCCUUAAUGCCUUAUGAAAUGAGUGGGCAACUGCUCUGUCAGGGUGAUGCAAGAGGCACACUCGUGCAGGUGGUCACAUCACAGACAGGAGAUGGAGCA
This is a long non-coding RNA of Gallus gallus (chicken), 2311 nucleotides long. The record is from Ensembl. NCBI's taxonomy places the organism in Eukaryota, Metazoa, Chordata, Aves, Galliformes, Phasianidae.